GAUGAACGCUGGCGGCGUGCCUAAUACAUGCAAGUCGAGCGAACGGACGAGAAGCUUGCUUCUCUGAUGUUAGCGGCGGACGGGUGAGUAACACGUGGAUAACCUACCUAUAAGACUGGUAUAACUUCGGGAAACCGGAGCUAAUACCGGAUAAUAUUUUGAACCGCAUGGUUCAAAAGUGAAAGACGGUCUUGCUGUCACUUAUAGAUGGAUCCGCGCUGCAUUAGCUAGUUGGUAAGGUAACGGCUUACCAAGGCAACGAUGCAUAGCCGACCUGAGAGGGGGAUCGGCCACCCUGGAACUGGGACACGGUCCAGACUCCUACGGGAGGCAGCAGUAGGGAAUCGGCCGCAAUGGGGGGAAGCCUGACGGAGCAGCGCCGCGUGAGUGAUGAAGGUCUUCGGAUCGUAAAACUCUGUUAUUAGGGAAGAACAUAUGUGUAAGUAACUGUGCACAUCUUGACGGUACCUAGUCAGAAAGCCACGGCUAACUACGUG
Molecule: ribosomal RNA, 497 nt
Filed under: uncultured bacterium
Lineage: Bacteria
Description: partial 16S ribosomal RNA
Rfam family: Bacterial small subunit ribosomal RNA
Source: RNAcentral